GCCGGGUGUGGUGUCACACGCCUGUAAUCCCAGUGGCUCGGGAGGUGGAGACAGGAGAAUUGCCAAGUUCAAAGCUAGCCUCAGCAAUUUAGUGAGACCCUGUCUCUC
RNAcentral lists this small RNA (108 nucleotides) under Marmota monax (woodchuck). Lineage: Eukaryota; Metazoa; Chordata; Mammalia; Rodentia; Sciuridae. The record is from RNAcentral.